GAUAAAAUGGCUGAGUUAUAGGUAAUAAAUUGUAAAUUUAUUCACGAAUUUUUAUUCUUUUAUCA
RNAcentral lists this transfer RNA (65 nucleotides) under Dercetina varipennis. RNAcentral's name for it is "tRNA-Tyr". The record is from RNAcentral. Lineage: Eukaryota; Metazoa; Arthropoda; Insecta; Coleoptera; Chrysomelidae.